This 206-nucleotide small RNA is filed under the name Pan troglodytes (chimpanzee). Its description in RNAcentral is "transcribed unitary pseudogene". Lineage: Eukaryota; Metazoa; Chordata; Mammalia; Primates; Hominidae. The record is from RNAcentral.
AUGGAGUCUUUCCUCUUGGAUGACAUCAGCUCUGUGAUACAGAACAAAGGCAUUGAGAGAAUCAUCUCACCAAUGAUCGUUCAGCUUUGCCAUCUGCUCAUCUCAAUGGAGAGAAAAGAAGUGGAGAAUGAAGUAUUUGCCUCACUGGAGAAGAUGGCUGAGGAAUUGGCGAAAGCUUGUGAAGACUUCGUGCAAGUUGUCAAAAG